UACGUAGGGGGCAAGCGUUGUCCGGAUUUAUUGGGCGUAAAGAGCGUGUAGGCGGCCAUUCAGGUCAGCUGUGAAAACUCGAGGCUCAACCUCGAGACGUCGGUUGAAACCGUACGGCUAGAGUCCGGAAGAGGAGAGUGGAAUUCCCGGUGUAGCGGUGAAAUGCGCAGAUAUCGGGAAGAACACCCGUGGCGAAGGCGGCUCUCUGGGACGGUACUGACGCUGAGACGCGAAAGCGUGGGGAGCGAACAGG
This 253-nucleotide ribosomal RNA is filed under the name uncultured bacterium. Its description in RNAcentral is "partial 16S ribosomal RNA". It matches the Rfam family "Bacterial small subunit ribosomal RNA", at positions 524 to 776 of the family's 1533-position model. The record is from RNAcentral.